This 467-nucleotide ribosomal RNA is filed under the name uncultured bacterium. Its description in RNAcentral is "partial 16S ribosomal RNA". It matches the Rfam family "Bacterial small subunit ribosomal RNA", at positions 28 to 506 of the family's 1533-position model. The record is from RNAcentral.
GACGAACGCUGGCGGCGUGCUUAACACAUGCAAGUCGAACGGUGAUGCUCCAGCUUGCUGGAGUGGAUCAGUGGCGAACGGGUGAGUAACACGUGAGCAACCUGCCCCAGACUCUGGAAUAAGCGCUGGAAACGGCGUCUAAUACUGGAUACGAAACUGGCCCGCAUGGGCAUGGUUUGGAAAGUUUUUCGGUUUGGGAUGGGCUCGCGGCCUAUCAGCUUGUUGGUGAGGUAAUGGCUCACCAAGGCGACGACGGGUAGCCGGCCUGAGAGGGCGACCGGCCACACUGGGACUGAGACACGGCCCAGACUCCUACGGGAGGCAGCAGUGGGGAAUAUUGCACAAUGGGCGAAAGCCUGAUGCAGCGACGCCGCGUGAGGGAUGACGGCCUUCGGGUUGUAAACCUCUUUCAGCAGGGAAGAAGCGAAAGUGACGGGACCGGCAGAAGAAGCACCGGCUAACUACGU